ACUAGUCAAACCUUAGAGUACACACUAAAAAUCAUCUUACAUAAUGAGAAACUAUUCUAAAUACACUAGUUUAAAUCCAUACAUAUGAUGAUGAUUACAGUUCAUGCAUAAUUGAUGCUCGCUUCAUACCUGGUUGAUUAAACCACAAACAACUAAUCGUUCUUCUUGAGCUAUCGAACUUAAUGGCUGCUUCCUGGAUGUUUCCCCUCAAUGGCUUGUCAUUCUUAGAAUUUUGAAGAAGGAACUGGAUGAUGGAAUUCCUCUCUGCAUUUGUUAGAUUUUUGUUGACCAUGUUGGUCCUUUGUUGUUUUUAGUUUGUAUAGAAAUGGUUCAUUUCCAUUGCUUAUUUAUAAUGUUAAAAUGAGAGAAACCUUUUGAAAUUUGGUGAAGUGAUGUAAACUUUUGAAUGUGGUAUGCAAA
Salvia miltiorrhiza (redroot sage) is the source of this 420-nucleotide long non-coding RNA. RefSeq lists it as uncharacterized. NCBI's taxonomy places the organism in Eukaryota, Viridiplantae, Streptophyta, Magnoliopsida, Lamiales, Lamiaceae. The record is from RefSeq and is a predicted model, not a curated record. The transcript has 2 exons.